RNAcentral lists this ribosomal RNA (301 nucleotides) under uncultured bacterium. Its description in RNAcentral is "partial 16S ribosomal RNA". It matches the Rfam family "Bacterial small subunit ribosomal RNA", at positions 509 to 807 of the family's 1533-position model. The record is from RNAcentral.
CAGCCGCCGCGGGAAAACGGAGGGUGCAAGCGUUAAUCGGAAUUACUGGGCGUAAAGCGUGCGUAGGUGGUUGUUUAAGUCUGCUGUGAAAGCCCUGGGCUCAACCUGGGAAUUGCAGUGGAUACUGGGCAACUAGAGUAAGGUAGAGGAUAGUGGAAUUUCCGGUGUAGCAGUGAAAUGCGUAGAGAUCGGAAGGAACAUCUGUGGCGAAGGCGACUAUCUGGGCCAUUACUGACACUGAGGCACGAAAGCGUGGGGAGCAAACAGGAUUAGAGACCCCCGUAGUCCCUGUCUCUUAUAC